GACGAACGCUGGCGGCGUGCCUAACACAUGCAAGUCGAACGGACAGGCCCUGCUCUUGCGGGGCGCUCGAGUGGCGAACGGGUGAGUAACACGCGAGUAACAUGCACUUGUCAUUGGGAUAACUUCACGAAACUGGGGCUCAUAUAGCAUAGGAGAUCUUGAUCCAUGGUGGGGGUUGGUAAGAUUCGGCGGUUGGGGAUGGACUGGCGGCUUAUCAGCUAGAUGGUGGGGUAGUGGCUUACCAAGGCUAUGACGGAUAGGCCGCGUGGGAGGGUGAACGGGCUCAUUGGUACUGAGAUACGCCCCAGACGCGUAUGUGAGGCAGCAGUGGGGAAUAUUGCGGAACAGGCGGGAGCCUGAGACAGCGGCGUCGCGUGCGUAAUGACGGCCUUCGAGUUAAAAACCGCUUUCGCCUUUGACAAGGCGUGAUUGACGGUAAUGGGUAAGGAAGCACCGGCUAACUACGUG
This 468-nucleotide ribosomal RNA is filed under the name uncultured bacterium. Its description in RNAcentral is "partial 16S ribosomal RNA". It matches the Rfam family "Bacterial small subunit ribosomal RNA", at positions 28 to 507 of the family's 1533-position model. The record is from RNAcentral.